RNAcentral lists this ribosomal RNA (516 nucleotides) under melanized limestone ascomycete CR-2004. RNAcentral's name for it is "SSU rRNA". It matches the Rfam family "Eukaryotic small subunit ribosomal RNA", at positions 37 to 557 of the family's 1831-position model. Lineage: Eukaryota; Fungi; Ascomycota. The record is from RNAcentral.
UCAAAGAUUAAGCCAUGCAUGUCUAAGUAUAAGCAACUAUACGGUGAAACUGCGAAUGGCUCAUUAAAUCAGUUAUCGUUUAUUUGAUAGUACCUUACUACAUGGAUAACCGUGGUAAUUCUAGAGCUAAUACAUGCUAAAAACCCCGACUUCGGAAGGGGUGUAUUUAUUAGAUAAAAAACCAAUGCCCUUCGGGGCUCCUUGGUGAAUCAUAAUAACUUAACGAAUCGCAUGGCCUUGCGCCGGCGAUGGUUCAUUCAAAUUUCUGCCCUAUCAACUUUCGAUGGUAGGAUAGUGGCCUACCAUGGUAUCAACGGGUAACGGGGAAUUAGGGUUCUAUUCCGGAGAGGGAGCCUGAGAAACGGCUACCACAUCCAAGGAAGGCAGCAGGCGCGCAAAUUACCCAAUCCCGACACGGGGAGGUAGUGACAAUAAAUACUGAUACAGGGCUCUUUUGGGUCUUGUAAUUGGAAUGAGUACAAUUUAAAUCCCUUAACGAGGAACAAUUGGAGGGCA